Molecule: small nuclear RNA, 112 nt
Filed under: Pogona vitticeps (central bearded dragon)
Lineage: Eukaryota; Metazoa; Chordata; Lepidosauria; Squamata; Agamidae
Description: U2 spliceosomal RNA (ENSPVIG00000006795.1)
Rfam family: U2 spliceosomal RNA
About the family: U2 is a small nuclear RNA (snRNA) component of the spliceosome (involved in pre-mRNA splicing). Complementary binding between U2 snRNA (in an area lying towards the 5' end but 3' to hairpin I) and the branchpoint sequence (BPS) of the intron results the bulging out of an unpaired adenosine, on the BPS, which initiates a nucleophilic attack at the intronic 5' splice site, thus starting the first of two transesterification reactions that mediate splicing.
Source: RNAcentral
AUCGCUUCUCGGCCUUUUGGCUAAGAUCAAGUGUAGUAUCUGAUAUUGUGUAGCAAUCUUAGGCCAUUUACUGGCAUUGUGAAUCACAGAUACAAGGCACAAUAUACAUUAA